CCUUGAUGACGACUGGCGCACGGGUGAGUAACGCGUAUCCAACCUUCCCAUAACUACGGGAUAACCCGUUGAAAGACGGCCUAAUACCGUAUGAUAUCGUUUGCUGACAUCAAAUAACGAUUAAAGGUUUAGCGGUUAUGGAUGGGGAUGCGUCUGAUUAGCUUGUUGGCGGGGUAACGGCCCAUCAAGGCAACGAUCAGUAGGGGUUAUGAGAGGAAGGUCCCCCACAUUGGAACUGAGACACGGUCCAAACUCCUACGGGAGGCAGCAGAG
Molecule: ribosomal RNA, 273 nt
Filed under: uncultured Prevotella sp.
Lineage: Bacteria; Pseudomonadati; Bacteroidota; Bacteroidia; Bacteroidales; Prevotellaceae
Description: partial 16S ribosomal RNA
Rfam family: Bacterial small subunit ribosomal RNA
Source: RNAcentral